CAACUCUCACGCCCCUAAAUAUUCAUAAGACCAGCUGUUCUAGCUUGGAUAUGCAAAUGAGGGCUUGGAGAAAAAAAAAACACCCUCCCCACGCCUGGAGAUUGACGGGGUGGAAACCUGUUCAUACUCUAAUUAGCCCGAGAGCUAUUGCGAUUAUAAAUGCUCGAUCAUUUAAAUUGGAACCGGCCAACAGGUGCACCUCUGGCUAACGGUUUGGCUGCAGAUAUUCACACCUCCAGCAAAUAGUCGAGGUUCCAGCUAAAACCAACGAAGCCUGGCUUGGAGACCAACUGCGCUUUAAAUUGGUUAUAUAUUUGUAUGCGAAUAUAAUUAGUUAUUAGUUUGGCUAAUUGCUUGCAGAAAUGUUAACACUCGGUUGGCUUUCGAUCCAAUUGCAACUACAUCGAACAAUAACAAUAAAAUUCCACGCUACGUUAACUUUAAAUAUGUAAUAUUCUUGAUCCCAAUGUCGAAUUCACUUGAACAUUUUUGUAAUUACUUUAUAAUGGUAUAUAUUGUGGUCCAAGGGUUUUUGAUUAUUAAGUACACAUCAAUACGAUUUCUUAAAUAUUUUGUAUAUAGCUCCACUUUGUUAAUUUUUCUUAUUUCACUCUCUUAUUCAUUUCUUUAAAUUCACAAUCUCCUUCCCUAAAGAUGUCUUUUUAAUACAAGAUUUAAAAUAAAAAUUCCCUUUUCAUGUCGUAAAUUGUUCCCUAAACAGAAUCAGACUUUAGAGUUGCUAAUUGCCAAAGAAGAUAAUCAAAUGAAGAAACCAAAGAGUAAUUAUUUUUCAAUUGCAUUUUUAAUUUUAUUAAUACACAAAACUUAAAUAAAAUAAUAAUGUUUAAACUCUACAUACCUACAAUACAAUACGUAAUAGUCAUAAGCAUAAUAAUAGAUAAUAAUAAUAAUAGUACACAAUAGUAAUAUUGUCGUUUACAGUUAUUGUACAAUGUAAGAAAAUUCUGUUUUGUUUUCCAUUUCAUUUUGAUCUUUUCCGUUUUUUUUUUACGUUUCCUUGAUUGUUGUAUUUUGGUUCGCCAUAUUUUGUUUAGAAAUACUAUCUCCGAAUGAAGUUUUAAUACCGGGAAUACUAUAUCGCGUGUCUAUAUAGUCUAGGUAAAUAUUGUGAGAGACAAAAAGAAGAUAAUAAUAAUACAAAAACAUUUUGUGUCUGAGUAUACAAUCGGUUUUGUGUGGUACUUUGCCUACUAAGUGCGGAUGUAUAUGAACUUUGCUUUCCCAGCACUCUUCACUUCACUUAAUUCGCUUUGCUUGGCUUUGUUUUCACAUCACUUAAACGUCUAACGAUUUUUUGGUCCAAUAAUAGUUGCGGUGAUAAAUAUGCGGGUCUGGUGUGUAAAUCGGGGGUGAUCAACAAAUAAAUAUGCUUGUUUUUUACCAUGUACGCGAUUCGACAAAAUAAGAACUUUAGAUGACAAUAAAAUAAAAUUAAACAAAAAACAAUAAACAAAAAAUAAAAAUAA
Long non-coding RNA from Drosophila subpulchrella, 1487 nucleotides. RefSeq lists it as uncharacterized. The transcript is spliced from 2 exons. NCBI's taxonomy places the organism in Eukaryota, Metazoa, Arthropoda, Insecta, Diptera, Drosophilidae. The record is from RefSeq and is a predicted model, not a curated record.